UCUUGGGCGUAUUGGCUAUGGAGCACAUGAAAACUGCACUAUUAAGCAUGCUCAGGUGGGAGUAGUACCAGGAUGGGUGACCUCCUUGGAAGUCUCCACCGGUGCAACAA
Molecule: ribosomal RNA, 110 nt
Filed under: Helianthus annuus (common sunflower)
Lineage: Eukaryota; Viridiplantae; Streptophyta; Magnoliopsida; Asterales; Asteraceae
Source: RNAcentral